Molecule: ribosomal RNA, 909 nt
Filed under: marine metagenome
Description: bacterial SSU rRNA
Rfam family: Bacterial small subunit ribosomal RNA
Source: RNAcentral
GGUGGGGUAAUGGCCUACCAAGACUGUGAUCAAUAGCUGAUUUGAGAGGAUGAUCAGCCACAUUGGGACUGAGACACGGCCCAAACUCCUACGGGAGGCAGCAGUGGGGAAUCUUGCACAAUGGAGGAAACUCUGAUGCAGCGAUGCCGCGUGAGUGAAGAAGGCCCUUGGGUUGUAAAGCUCUUUCGUCGGGGAAGAAAAUGACUGUACCCGAAUAAGAAGGUCCGGCUAACUUCGUGCCAGCAGCCGCGGUAAUACGAAGGGACCUAGCGUAGUUCGGAAUUACUGGGCUUAAAGAGUUCGUAGGUGGUUGAAAAAGUUGGUGGUGAAAUCCCAGAGCUUAACUCUGGAACUGCCAUCAAAACUUUUCAGCUAGAGUAUGAUAGAGGAAAGCAGAAUUUCUAGUGUAGAGGUGAAAUUCGUAGAUAUUAGAAAGAAUACCAAUUGCGAAGGCAGCUUUCUGGAUCAUUACUGACACUGAGGAACGAAAGCAUGGGUAGCGAAGAGGAUUAGAUACCCUCGUAGUCCAUGCCGUAAACGAUGUGUGUUAGACGUUGGAAAUUUAUUUUCAGUGUCGCAGUGAAAGCGAUAAACACACCGCCUGGGGAGUACGACCGCAAGGUUAAAACUCAAAUGAAUUGACGGGGACCCGCACAAGUAGUGGAGCAUGUGGUUUAAUUCGAAGAUACGCGCAGAACCUUACCAACACUUGACAUGUUCGUCGCGACUUUAAGAGAUUAAAGUUUUCGGUUCGGCCGGACGAAACACAGGUGCUGCAUGGCUGUCGUCAGCUCGUGUCGUGAGAUGUUGGGUUAAGUCCCGCAACGAGCGCAACCCUCACUUUUAGUUGCCAUCAUUUAGUUGGGCACUCUGAAAGAACUGCCAGUGAUAAGCUGGAGGAAGGUGGGG